RNAcentral lists this ribosomal RNA (253 nucleotides) under uncultured bacterium. RNAcentral's name for it is "partial 16S ribosomal RNA". It matches the Rfam family "Bacterial small subunit ribosomal RNA", at positions 524 to 776 of the family's 1533-position model. The record is from RNAcentral.
UACAGAGGUCCCAAGCGUUGUUCGGAUUCACUGGGCGUAAAGGGUGCGUAGGCGGUCGGGUAAGUCUGACGUGAAAUCUUCAAGCUUAACUUGGAAACUGCGUCGGAUACUAUUCGGCUAGAGGAAUGGAGGGGAGACUGGAAUACUUGGUGUAGCAGUGAAAUGCGUAGAUAUCAAGUGGAACACCAGUGGCGAAGGCGAGUCUCUGGACAUUUCCUGACGCUGAGGCACGAAAGCCAGGGGAGCAAGCGGG